Molecule: ribosomal RNA, 389 nt
Filed under: uncultured bacterium
Lineage: Bacteria
Description: bacterial SSU rRNA
Rfam family: Bacterial small subunit ribosomal RNA
Source: RNAcentral
GACGAACGCUGGCGGCGUGCUUAACACAUGCAAGUCGAGCGGUAAGGCCCUUUCGGGGGUACACGAGCGGCGAACGGGUGAGUAACACGUGGGUGACCUGCCCUCAGCUCUGGGAUAAGCCUGGGAAACCGGGUCUAAUACCGGAUAUGACUCCAUGACGCAUGUUGUGGGGUGGAAAGCCUUGUGCGGCUGAGGAUGGGCCCGCGGCCUAUCAGCUUGUUGGUGGGGUGAUGGCCUACCAAGGCGACGACGGGUAGCUGGUCUGAGAGGACGAUCAGCCACACUGGCACUGCGACACGGGCCAGACUCCUACGGGAGGCAGCAGUAAGGAAUAUUGCGCAAUGGGCGAAAGCCUGACGCAGCGACGCCGCGUGGGGGAUGAAGGUCUU